Molecule: long non-coding RNA, 1198 nt
Organism: Oryza brachyantha (malo sina)
Lineage: Eukaryota; Viridiplantae; Streptophyta; Magnoliopsida; Poales; Poaceae
Exons: 3
Source: RefSeq, a predicted model, not a curated record
UUGAGUUGGUUCCGCUCGCCGCUCUGCCUUCGCCGGCGGCGGGAGGAGGAUGGAGGCGACGGCGGGGAGGUGGCGAGUCUACGGCCGGAGAGGGAAGAGAUCGAUGGGCUGCGCAGAGUCGCAGAUCAGGGCCAGUCCUAGGGCUCCUUCUUCGCGUGCGGGAGAGGGCGACGUGGUGGCGGGGACAGGAGCAGGCUGCGGCGGCGGCGGCGGCGGUGCCAACCUGGUACGCCGUGUGGGAAUGGUUUCACGCCGGCCGGUGUGAUCUGUCGGUACAGCCGCCACCUCCUUCUCCCCGACUUCCGAGCCGAAGGUGCAAAUGGUCCUAAAAGAAAAUGUAGUAUAUGCUGUAACAGUUCGAUUGUCAGCAUCAAUGAGAUCAGGGAGUACAUGUUAGUUGACAUUCCAUGCUGAGAGCAGGUUAAGAUUAGAGGCUGAGCUGUUUGCACGGUUGUGGAGAAAAUUCAGUUUUUUCCACAAGAUGAUUUCAGAAGUUUGAUUGCGAGAACUUCACCCAAUCCCCAAUAUCUGUUAAGUCAGCGCCAAAUAUGCACAUAUAUACUUCCAGAAAGUGACCGCAUCACUUGUAAAGACUGCAAAAUGCUUGUUGAUAAUGGUGAACCACAUUGCUGGAUGUACGACCUACCGAUCAUUUCCAAAUAGCUUCAGUUUGCCAAUCUCUGAACAUUCCGCUCUCCAGUUGGAGGAGAAGCCUCAUAUGCUUGAAUCCUUAUUGAAGUAAAACACGGACACCUCCACCUCGGACAAACUGCCUUCCCUAUAUGUUAUUUUCCGAGAAGGCAAUGACUCUCAAAAGAGCUAUCUAGUUUCUCCGGGAGAAGGGGCUUCUUUCAGCAAAGAUGUAACUGUGGAUUGCAGUCCUGGGCACAAGAUGUUGAUCCUGGUUUCCUGUGUAUUGGUUGAGACUCUAUGCUCAACAUUCAAUCUUGAUACUAAGAGUAAAUGUAAGAUAUUGUACUCAACUCAAGAUAUGCUUGGGUUAUUCAAGGUGUAUCUGGUAACUGUUUGAAUACGCUCACACUCACGGUGCUCUUGUUGCAAGAUUUGUAUUUUUGCUUUUGUGAGUUAUGCUUUACACACAUGAAUAUAAAUGUACAAGACCUGUAACUUGUAUCUAGAGACAAUGGCACUGAACUUUUUUGUUGUUGGAAAAGAUCAUACAAUUGAUGAUCACAAU